GUAUUAUCAAGUGUUUUCUUUUAUAUAUCGUUCCAAUUUUAUAGGAUGUCCUCAAGGACAUGCGUCUUUUUCUGAAAAUUGGCAAAUAGACUCAAUAGUCUCUGUGGACCAAAGCUAUCAUUACCUCCCCAUAACCACCAGAAAAAAAAGUAGAAGCAUUUGAAUGGAUGCUUAGUUUCAGCAGCACAAGUUCAAAUUCACACCCCUGAUUUUGGUCUCCAUACUGUCUGUGUUUGAACACGAAUAGCUUGUGUGGGUCCCUGCACCGUUGAAUUCUGAUUCCUAUUCAUCCUUUUGUCCUGAAGCUGAUGAGCUUGUAAUGGGGGAUUGAUGGGUCUCUGUGCCUGAGGCUGAUGUUGUGCUCGUAAUGGUGGAUGUAUAGCUCUCUGGGCCUGACGCUGAUGAUGUGCUUGUAAUGGUGGAUGUAUAGCUCUCUGGGCCUGACGCUGAUGAUGUGCUU
Molecule: unclassified non-coding RNA, 460 nt
Filed under: Hevea brasiliensis (rubber tree)
Lineage: Eukaryota; Viridiplantae; Streptophyta; Magnoliopsida; Malpighiales; Euphorbiaceae
Source: RNAcentral